AAGCGCUUAUGACCAGACUUGGGCGGGUGAAUCACCCAGCGUUCUCGCUGGUGCACUUUGCCCGUCCAGGCCAGCAUCAGUUCGCGCCGGGGGAUAAAGGCCUCGGGAAAGUAGCUCCCUCGGGAGUGUUAUAGACCGUGGCGCAAUACCCUGGGGCGGACUGAGGUACGCGCUCCGCAAGGAUGCUGGCGUAAUGGUCAUCAGUGA
Molecule: ribosomal RNA, 207 nt
Filed under: Acremonium sp.
Lineage: Eukaryota; Fungi; Ascomycota; Sordariomycetes; Hypocreales; Bionectriaceae
Description: partial large subunit ribosomal RNA
Source: RNAcentral